CAGCAGCCGCGGUAAUACAUAGGGUGCAAGCGUUAAUCGGAAUUACUGGGCGUAAAGCGCGCGUAGGUGGUUUGUUAAGUUGGAUGUGAAAUCCCCGGGCUCAACCUGGGAACUGCAUCCAAAACUGGCAAGCUAGAGUAUGGUAGAGGGUGGUGGAAUUUCCUGUGUAGCGGUGAAAUGCGUAGAUAUAGGAAGGAACACCAGUGGCGAAGGCGACCACCUGGACUGAUACUGACACUGAGGUGCGAAAGCGUGGGGAGCAAACAGGAUUAGAUACCCGAGUAGUCCCUGUCUCUUAUAC
Molecule: ribosomal RNA, 301 nt
Filed under: uncultured bacterium
Lineage: Bacteria
Description: partial 16S ribosomal RNA
Rfam family: Bacterial small subunit ribosomal RNA
Source: RNAcentral